Molecule: ribosomal RNA, 253 nt
Filed under: uncultured bacterium
Lineage: Bacteria
Description: partial 16S ribosomal RNA
Rfam family: Bacterial small subunit ribosomal RNA
Source: RNAcentral
UACGUAGGGUGCGAGCGUUGUCCGGAAUUAUUGGGCGUAAAGGGCUCGUAGGCGGUCUGUCGCGUCGGGAGUGAAAACUCAGGGCUUAACCCUGAGCCUGCUUCCGAUACGGGCAGACUAGAGGUAUGCAGGGGAGAACGGAAUUCCUGGUGUAGCGGUGAAAUGCGCAGAUAUCAGGAGGAACACCGGUGGCGAAGGCGGUUCUCUGGGCAUUACCUGACGCUGAGGAGCGAAAAUGUGGGGAGCGAACAGG